AAAGUAGGAGGCUAGCGUUAUCCGGAUUCAUUGGGCGUAAAGCGUGUGCAGGCGGUGUUCUAAGUUGGACGUGAAAUCUCCUGGCCUAACUGGGAGGGGCCGUCCAAUACUGGAGCACUUGAGGUCAGAAGAGAGAAGUGGAAUUCCCGGUGUAGCGGUGGAAUGCGUAGAUAUCGGGAGGAACACCCGUGGCGAAAGCGGCUUCCUGGUCUGCACCUGACGCUGAGACACGAAAGCUAGGGGAGCAAACGGG
RNAcentral lists this ribosomal RNA (253 nucleotides) under uncultured bacterium. Its description in RNAcentral is "partial 16S ribosomal RNA". It matches the Rfam family "Bacterial small subunit ribosomal RNA", at positions 524 to 776 of the family's 1533-position model. The record is from RNAcentral.